RNAcentral lists this ribosomal RNA (468 nucleotides) under uncultured bacterium. Its description in RNAcentral is "partial 16S ribosomal RNA". It matches the Rfam family "Bacterial small subunit ribosomal RNA", at positions 28 to 507 of the family's 1533-position model. The record is from RNAcentral.
GACGAACGCUGGCGGCGCGCCUAACACAUGCAAGUCGAACGGAGCUGAGAGAAGCUUGCUUUUCUUAGCUUAGUGGCGAACGGGUGAGUAACGCGUGAGUAACCUGCCCUGGAGUGGGGGACAACAGUUGGAAACGACUGCUAAUACCGCAUAAGCCCACGAUCCGGCAUCGGAUUGAGGGAAAAGGAUUUAUUCGCUUCAGGAUGGACUCGCGUCCAAUUAGCUAGUUGGUGAGGUAACGGCCCACCAAGGCGACGAUUGGUAGCCGGACUGAGAGGUUGAACGGCCACAUUGGGACUGAGACACGGCCCAGACUCCUACGGGAGGCAGCAGUGGGGGAUAUUGCACAAUGGGGGAAACCCUGAUGCAGCGACGCCGCGCGGAGGAAGAAGGUUUUCGGAUUGUAAACUCCUGUCGUUAGGGACGAUAAUGACGGUACCUAACAAGAAAGCACCGGCUAACUACGUG